RNAcentral lists this ribosomal RNA (772 nucleotides) under uncultured archaeon. RNAcentral describes it as "bacterial SSU rRNA". It matches the Rfam family "Archaeal small subunit ribosomal RNA", at positions 102 to 859 of the family's 1478-position model. The record is from RNAcentral.
GGCUAACUGCCCUUAGGACGAGAAUAACCCCGGGAAACUGGGGCUAAUGCUCGAUAGGUGAAGAACUCUGGAAUGAGUCUUCACUUAAAAGAGUCUGCGUUAUGCUCGUAGAUUUCGCUUAAGGAUGGGGCCGCGACCGAUCAGGUUGUUGGUGAGGUAAUGGCUCACCAAGCCUUUUACCGGUGCGGGCCGUGAGAGCGGGAGCCCGGAGAUGGGCACUGAGACAAGGGCCCAGGCCCUACGGGGCGCAGCAGUCGCGAAAACUUUGCAAUACACGAAAGUGUGACAGGGCUAUCCCGAGUGCCAUCCGCUGAGGAAGGCUUUUACCCAGUCUAGAACGCUGGGGGAAUAAGGAGAGGGCAAGUCUGGUGUCAGCCGCCGCGGUAAUACCAGCUCUCCGAGUGGUGUGGAUGUUUAUUGGGCCUAAAGCAUCCGUAGCUGGCUAAGUUAGUCCCCUGUUAAAUCCAACGAAUUAAUCGUUGGAUCGCGGGGGAUACUGCUUGGCUAGGGGACGAGAGAGGCAGACGGUAUUUCCGGGGUAGGGGUGAAAUCCUAUAAUCCCGGGAAGACCACCAGUGGCGAAGGCUGUCUGCUAGAACGCGCCCGACGGUGAGGGAUGAAAGCUGGGGGAGCGAACCGGAUUAGAUACCCGGGUAGUCCCAGCUGUAAACGAUGCAGGCUAGGUGUUUGGACGGCCACGUGCCGUUCUAGUGCCGCAGGGAAGCUGUUAAGCCUGCCGCCUGGGGAGUACGAUCGCAAGAUUGAAACUUAA